Pan paniscus (pygmy chimpanzee) is the source of this 374-nucleotide long non-coding RNA. NCBI's taxonomy places the organism in Eukaryota, Metazoa, Chordata, Mammalia, Primates, Hominidae. The record is from Ensembl.
ACUUUAAAUAAUGUCAUUGGUACUAUUAGUACUGCUCAAAAUUUAUUCAUGCAUUUUUUUAUUCACUUUAGAUAAAAAAUCUGUUAGAAUAGCAUAGAAGACAAUGGAAGGGAAGAGGAGGAGAGCAGAGGAGACCAUCUAAUAAAGAUUGUAGAAGACCUUCAGUCCUGCAUCCACAAAGUCAAAAUUACAUAAAUCGAUAGUUCCAGGAUGUGCGUACAGUUUCAUCAAAUCAAUACUUUUCAGUGACUACAUGCAUUCUCUAAAGUGCAUUUCAUUAAGGAAGAAGAAAGGAAAGAGAAAAAGAGAGGUAAGUAUCAUUAAAACAUGAAUAAAAGUGUCUGAGUAUAGUCAAAAAAUAAAAUAAAACAAAA